This 73-nucleotide transfer RNA is filed under the name Phenylobacterium sp. RNAcentral describes it as "tRNA-Thr". It matches the Rfam family "tRNA". Rfam says of the family: Transfer RNA (tRNA) molecules are approximately 80 nucleotides in length. Their secondary structure includes four short double-helical elements and three loops (D, anti-codon, and T loops). The record is from RNAcentral. Lineage: Bacteria; Pseudomonadati; Pseudomonadota; Alphaproteobacteria; Caulobacterales; Caulobacteraceae.
GCCGGCUUAGCUCAGUUGGUAGAGCAGCGCUUUUGUAAAGCGAAGGUCGCGGGUUCGAGUCCUGCAGCCGGCG